This 253-nucleotide ribosomal RNA is filed under the name uncultured bacterium. RNAcentral's name for it is "partial 16S ribosomal RNA". It matches the Rfam family "Bacterial small subunit ribosomal RNA", at positions 524 to 776 of the family's 1533-position model. The record is from RNAcentral.
GACGAGGGGUCCUAGCGUUGUUCGGAAUCAUUGGGCGUAAAGCGCAUGUAGGCGGCUUUAAAAGUCAGGUGUGAAAUCCCAUGGCUCAACCAUGGAACUGCAUUUGAUACUGUAAAGCUUGAGUAUGAGAGAGGUUGGUAGAAUUCCUGGUGUAGUGGUAAAAUACGUAGAUAUCAGGAGGAAUACCGGAGGCGAAGGCGGCCAACUGGCUCAAUACUGACGCUGAGAUGCGAAAGCGUGGGGAUCAAACAGG